RNAcentral lists this ribosomal RNA (440 nucleotides) under uncultured bacterium. RNAcentral describes it as "partial 16S ribosomal RNA". It matches the Rfam family "Bacterial small subunit ribosomal RNA", at positions 338 to 795 of the family's 1533-position model. The record is from RNAcentral.
CCUACGGGCGGCAGUAGUGGGGAAUAUUGCACAAUGGGGGAAACCCUGAUGCAGCGACGCCGCGUGAGUGAAGAAGUAAUUCGUUAUGUAAAGCUCUAUCAGCAGGGAAGAAAAUGACGGUACCUGAGUAAGAAGCCCCGGCUAACUACGUGCCAGCAGCCGCGGUAAUACGUAGGGGGCAAGCGUUAUCCGGAUUUACUGGGUGGAAAGGGAGCGUAGACGGCAGUGCAAGUCUGGAGUGAAAGGCGGGGGCUCAACCCCCGGACUGCUCUGGAAACUGUACGGCUGGAGUGCAGGAGAGGUAAGUGGAAUUCCUAGUGUAGCGGUGAAAUGCGUAGAUAUUAGGAGGAACACCAGUGGCGAAGGCGGCUUACUGGACUGUAACUGACGUUGAGGCUCGAAAGCGUGGGGAGCAAACAGGAUUAGAUACCCUAGUAGUC